UGGCAUGUUUCCAAAGUCUAUGGCUAAUCGUGGCCAUGGCAUCUCCAACUGCAUGCAAGAGGAACCUGGAAAGACUUUCUGGAGAGACUUUGACAGUGCAGGUCACCAAAACUAUUCUAACAAAAAUGUGUCCUAAAUACAUCUCUGUAUUUCUAACAAAGGCUGUUAUUUGACUUUUCUAUAAAC
Molecule: small nucleolar RNA, 186 nt
Organism: Sorex araneus (European shrew)
Lineage: Eukaryota; Metazoa; Chordata; Mammalia; Eulipotyphla; Soricidae
Product: small nucleolar RNA SNORA44
Exons: 1
Source: RefSeq, a predicted model, not a curated record